AGUGAACGCUGGCGGUAGGCCUAACACAUGCAAGUCGAACGGCAGCACAGUAAGAGCUUGCUCUUACGGGUGGCGAGUGGCGGACGGGUGAGGAAUACAUCGGAAUCUACUUUUUCGUGGGGGAUAACGUAGGGAAACUUACGCUAAUACCGCAUACGACCUACGGGUGAAAGCAGGGGAUCUUCGGACCUUGCGCGAUUGAAUGAGCCGAUGUCGGAUUAGCUAGUUGGCGGGGUAAAGGCCCACCGAGGCGACGAUCCGUAGCUGGUCUGAGAGGAUGAUCAGCCACACUGGAACUGAGACACGGUCCAGACUCCUACGGGAGGCGGCAGUGGGGAAUAUUGGACAAUGGGCGCAAGCCUGAUCCAGCCAUACCGCGUGGGUGAAGAAGGCCUUCGGGUUGUAAAGCCCUUUUGUUGGGAAAGAAAAGCAGCAGGUUAAUACCCCGCUGUUCUGACGGUACCCAAAGAAUAAGCACCGGCUAACUUCGUG
Molecule: ribosomal RNA, 492 nt
Filed under: uncultured bacterium
Lineage: Bacteria
Description: partial 16S ribosomal RNA
Rfam family: Bacterial small subunit ribosomal RNA
Source: RNAcentral